CAAUGACAUUGCAGUGGCUGCCCCCUACGGGGGUCCCAGUGGCCGGGGCCAAGUGCUGGUGUUCCUGGGUCAGAGUGAGGGGCUGAGGUCACGUCCCUCCCAGGUCCUGGACAGCCCCUUCCCCACAGGCUCUGCCUUUGGCUUCUCCCUUCGAGGUGCCGUAGACAUCGAUGACAACGGAUACCCAGACCUGAUCGUGGGAGCUUACGGGGCCAACCAGGUGGCUGUGUACAGAGCUCAGCCAGUGGUGAAGGCCUCUGUCCAGCUACUGGUGCAAGAUUCACUGAAUCCUGCUGUGAAGAGCUGUGUCCUACCUCAGACCAAGACACCCGUGAGCUGCUUCAACAUCCAGAUGUGUGUUGGAGCCACUGGGCACAACAUUCCUCAGAAGCUAUCCCUAAAUGCCGAGCUGCAGCUGGACCGGCAGAAGCCCCGCCAGGGCCGGCGGGUGCUGCUGCUGGGCUCUCAACAGGCAGGCACCACCCUGAACCUGGAUCUGGGCGGAAAGCACAGCCCCAUCUGCCACACCACCAUGGCCUUCCUUCGAGAUGAGGCAGACUUCCGGGACAAGCUGAGCCCCAUUGUGCUCAGCCUCAAUGUGUCCCUACCGCCCACGGAGGCUGGAAUGGCCCCUGCUGUCGUGCUGCAUGGAGACACCCAUGUGCAGGAGCAGACACGAAUCAUCCUGGACUGUGGGGAAGAUGACGUAUGUGUGCCCCAGCUUCAGCUCACUGCCAGCGUGACGGGCUCCCCGCUCCUAGUUGGGGCAGAUAAUGUCCUGGAGCUGCAGAUGGACGCAGCCAACGAGGGCGAGGGGGCCUAUGAAGCAGAGCUGGCCGUGCACCUGCCCCAGGGCGCCCACUACAUGCGGGCCCUAAGCAACGUCGAGGGCUUUGAGAGACUCAUCUGUAAUCAGAAGAAGGAGAAUGAGACCAGGGUGGUGCUGUGUGAGCUGGGCAACCCCAUGAAAAAGAACGCCCAGAUAGGAAUCGCGAUGUUGGUGAGCGUGGGGAAUCUGGAAGAGGCUGGGGAGUCUGUGUCCUUCCAGCUGCAGAUACGGAGCAAGAACAGCCAGAAUCCAAACAGCAAGAUUGUGCUGCUGGACGUGCCGGUCCGGGCAGAGGCCCAAGUGGAGCUGCGAGGGAACUCCUUUCCAGCCUCCCUGGUGGUGGCAGCAGAAGAAGGUGAGAGGGAGCAGAACAGCUUGGACAGCUGGGGACCCAAAGUGGAGCAUACCUAUGAGCUCCACAACAAUGGCCCUGGGACUGUGAAUGGUCUUCACCUCAGCAUCCACCUUCCGGGACAGUCCCAGCCCUCCGACCUGCUCUACAUCCUGGAUAUACAGCCCCAGGGGGGCCUUCAGUGCUUCCCACAGCCUCCUGUCAACCCUCUCAAGGUGGACUGGGGGCUGCCCACCCCCAGCCCCUCCCCCAUUCACCCGGCCCAUCACAAGCGGGAUCGCAGACAGAUCUUCCUGCCAGAGCCCGAGCAGCCCUCGAGGCUUCAGGAUCCAGUUCUCCUAGUGAGCAGGCUCUCUGGUCUCUGGCCCGGCCUCCCCGGGACCCACGGGGCAGAGGGGAUGGGAGGAGGGAGAGGGGUCCGGGUGUGCUGUGGGCCUCUGUGGGCCACGCUUGGUCCCUGGGAGCACUUCAAGUGAACAUGGAGGAGCAUGCUGGCUUGUGUCUGGGGUGAGCUGAAAGACACCUGCACUUUUUAAAAGCUUCCCAGUACGUUAAGGAGCAUAAAACAAUGCCAAAGCAAGGUUAUCAUAGAUCUGAGCAUUGCGCGCUGGGGGAUGACCCUCCCUGCAUCUCUGGGACUAUGUGAGCAAGCCCGUGGAAAGACAGCAUCCGAAGCUUGGAUCCAAGGCCCUUCCUGAUGGGAAGGCCACCGCUUCCUGAACCCCCGGCCCCUUCUGCGUUGGGUCCUGGGGGUAAGGGGGUGGGGGAUGAUGGGGUGAUGGGCCGGGACGGGCUGGGGACUGACGAUGCUUCCCCUCAGAGCUGCGACUCGGCGCCCUGUACUGUGGUGCAGUGUGACCUGCAGGAGAUGGCGCGCGGGCAGCGGGCCAUGGUCACGGUGCUGGCCUUCCUGUGGCUGCCCAGCCUCUACCAGGUGGGGUGGGCCGUGGUGGGGCGGGGCCGGGCCUUCUGGGCGGGGACCACUUUGCUCUGGGAGGGGCGGGGUUUGGUGUGGGAGGGCAGGAAGAGAGGGAAGGCAAGGUUUACUUUGGGGGAUUGCAGUGGGAUUAGGUCAGAGGCAGGGCUUCCCCGCCGGGGGUGUGGGACCUGGACUCCUGCAACCAAUAGGCCUCUUGUGGGUGUAAACGGCUUUCAACCCCAACCUGUCCAGAGGCCUCUGGAUCAGUUUGUGCUGCAGUCGCACGCAUGGUUCAACGUGUCCUCCCUCCCCUAUGCGGUGCCCCCGCUCAGCCUGCCCCGAGGGGAAGCUCAGGUGAGUGUGGGGGGAUGGAGCAGAGACCAGUCCUGCAGGACCCAUUGUCCCCCAGUCAGUGCCCAGCCAGAAAAGUCUGAGGGGUGGUAUGGGUGGGUGGCAUGGCUGGAGGUCACCAGCCUGAGGUUGGAGUCUUUGUGAAAGGCAGGUGUCAAGGUGACUGAGGAGACACGUGGGUUUGCCCCCAGGUGCGGACACAGCUGCUCCGGGCCUUGGAGGAGAGGGCCAUUCCAAUCUGGUGGGUGCUGGUGGGUGUGCUGGGUGGCCUGCUGCUGCUCACCAUCCUGGUCCUGGCCAUGUGGAAGGUGAGGUGUGAAGGACGGUGGAGUCCCCAGCGGGGCACAGGCUUGGCUCUGCCCUGCCUCACAGGGAGUCAAGGAGAGAUGGUGGCCCACCCAAGUGGGUAAUCCAGGGACCAGGGGUCUAUGUCUCCACUAUUAGAAUGUCAUUCUCAGUCCAGUGGGGUAGCUCACACCUGUAAUCCCAGCACUUUCGGAGGCCAAAGCGUUUAGAUCACCUGAGGUCAAGAGUUUGAGACCAGCCUGGCCAACAUGGUGAAACCCCAUCUCUACUAAAAAUACCAAAAUUAGCUGGGCGUGUUGACACAUGCCUGUAAUCUCAGCUACUCGGGAGGCUGAGGCAGUAGAAUUGCAUGAACCCAGGAGGCGGAGGUUGCAGUGAGCCGAGAUCACACCACUGCACUCCAGCUUGGGCAACAGAGCGAGCCUCCAUCUC
This 3189-nucleotide small RNA is filed under the name Pan troglodytes (chimpanzee). Its description in RNAcentral is "retained intron". The record is from RNAcentral. Lineage: Eukaryota; Metazoa; Chordata; Mammalia; Primates; Hominidae.